RNAcentral lists this unclassified non-coding RNA (391 nucleotides) under soil metagenome. Its description in RNAcentral is "partial contains 5.8S ribosomal RNA, internal transcribed spacer 2, and large subunit ribosomal RNA". The stretch from base 1 to 122 matches the Rfam family "5.8S ribosomal RNA", at positions 35 to 154 of the family's 154-position model. The record is from RNAcentral.
GAUGAAGAACGUAGCGAAAUGCGAUACUUGGUGUGAAUUGCAGAAUCCCGUGAACCAUCGAGUCUUUGAACGCAAGUUGCGCCCGAAGCCAUUAGGCCGAGGGCACGCCUGCCUGGGCGUCACACGUCGUUGCCCCCCCAUCUACUCCUUCGGGAUUGCGGGGGGCGGAUGAUGGCCUCCCGUGCGCCUCGCCGCGCGGUUGGCAUAAAUGCCAAGUCCUCGGCGACGCACGCCACGACAAUCGGUGGUUGCGAAACCUCGGUUGCCCGUCGUGUGCGGUCGUCGCGCAUCGAGGGCUCGGAAAAAUUGCCGGGUUCCGGCUCGGCUUUCAACGCGACCCCAGGUCAGGCGGGGUUACCCGCUGAAUUUAAGCAUAUCAAUAAGCGGAGGA